This 2392-nucleotide long non-coding RNA is filed under the name Xyrichtys novacula (pearly razorfish). The record is from RNAcentral. Lineage: Eukaryota; Metazoa; Chordata; Actinopteri; Labriformes; Labridae.
UUUGUCCCUAACUCUGAUGCAUGAGAGGAGAGAGGAGAAUGAAAGGCACCUGACGCUGGAGCGCCCAUAAGACAGAUACGAAGAUAAUUGGCUGUGCUGCAACAAGAGGGGGCUUGCGGAUGAGAGGCUCACCAGGUCCUGCUCCCAUUUGACAGGCCAGUACAGUUUUAUCUACAAACUCUUCUCAUAUGUGUCUGCUGCUACUUAGUUGUACAUACUCACAUUUAUAGUGGGAACACAUUUAGUUGGGUGUAUAUAUUUAUUAGUGCUAGACAAUAAGAGCAGUAGUUUUGUGGGUAAAAAGAAAGGCUUGGCAAUAGACUGACCAGUUGAAAGGGCUGAUUAAGUACCGUAGUAUUGUUGAAUUAAAAGAGCAUUUCCAAAGGUCUAAAUUUUGCUGAAACGUGUGGAUGUGGUUUGUCAUUGCUGCUUGGUAAAAUCACACAGAUUGAUCUUUUACGGGUGUUGAUAAGUUUUAGGCCUCAGGGGAUGCUUCAUGAGAAGCACUAGGGGACAAUCGCGCCCACUCAGAGGACCUGUAAACCCUGAUAGGGGGACAGAACCUGGAUUUUAGGGGUGCCCAGAAGACCUAAAAGGGGGGUGUCAGCUGGUAGUGUCAGGGCCAGAACAAGAGCCAACCAUUGAAGUGAAAGUGAAUGAUAAACCAUUGACAGUUAUGGCAGAUUGCGGAGCUGCUUUCACCUGUGUUGAGAAUAAUUUUAAAGUGGGGAAAAGUUUCAUAAAAAAAAUCCUGAGUACACCCCAUAAUGUCCUCAAUGAGCUGAAUUUUUGAAGCCCAGAAUAGUUUCUGUAGCUCAAAGUUUGUGGGUGGAGAUAGGUGGUGAUGCAGACACAUAUUAACUGUGUGUACAUGCAGGUCUUUUAGACACACACACACGUGCACACACAUUGCCAGACUGUGUGUGUGUGUGUGUGUGUCGUUAAUGAUAGCAUCCUAAACAGCUGUGAGAUUAAAGGCAUUAACUGACCGACUGUUUGAAUGAGAAGCUGCCUCUGGACUUCUUCACAUAGCACGAUUUCCUUAUAACUAUAGUAAGGAAACAUUGAGCUCUGUGAGGAGAGGUGUGCUGAAGUUUGAGUGUGUGAGAGAAGCUUCUGGUGUGUGUGGGUGUGAGAGGAGUGUGUGUAUGGGUGCUGAGCUGUGUGUGUGAGGGCAAAAGAGUCUGUGUGCAGUGAGUGGUGUGUGCACAAAGUUGGGGAAUGGUCUAGCAUAAAUAUAAGUGAUUAACUUAUGAUAAAGUGAUGAAUGAUGUCUUAUUAAAUAUAUAAUGAUAUGAUAUAAGAAAUUAACAUAUAAGGGAAGAGAUACUGUUGCCUUUGUAGUGUUAAAAACAUAUGAGCCCUGUUUUUCUUUGUACAGGGACGUUAAUAGAAUAAGUAACUGCUAUGAGCCUCUCAGGAUAAAGAGGACGUUUGUACACCUAAUAGUAAGAAAUGAGCCCCUUAUUAGAUGAGGAGGACUUUGGAUGGUGAUAACAUCCUCGAUUAAAAUGGCAAUUAAAGAAGUGUACACAAGCACAUUUGUGUUCAUACAGAUACAGGGAAAAAACAGAGUAACAGAGUGGGGUAAAAUAAAAUGAUUUGCUAACUGAUGGGUAUGGUUUUCCUCUGUGUGUGUGUGAAUAUUUAAAGUGAAUGGUCACUUGCUGAUGAUUAUGUUUAGAGGGAAAAUCCCAGUUAAAAAUUGGAAAAAUCCAUGGAGCUUUCUCUCCCGCUUUCUUUCUCUUCUUGCAGGCCUGAGAACAGAAAGAAAGCUAAAAAAUCUAGUUUAACUAUCCUAGAUGUGUGAAAAUUUUAAAUGGUAUACCAUGGUAAAGGGGAAUGGUGUAUAAUAAAUUUAGGUAGUCUUAUGGUAGAAGAAAUCUUUAAUUAGUGGUAGGAAAUGUUGUUUUCAAGUUUAUUGAGUGAAUUGAUUGUAAUAUACUAAACAUUUGAUUUGUUCUUUGUCCCUAACUCUGAUGCAUGAGAGGAGAGAGGAGAAUGAAAGGCACCUGACGCUGGAGCGCCCAUCAGAGAGGCUCACCAGGUCCUGCUCCCAUUUGACAGGCCAGUACAGUUUUAUCUACAAACUCUUCUCCUAUGUGUCUGCUGCUACUUAGUUGUACAUACACACAUUUAUAGUGGGAACACAUUUAGUUGGGUGUAUAUAUUUAUUAGUGCUAGACAAUAAGAGCAGUAGUUUUGUGGGUAAAAAGAAAGGCUUGGCAAUAGACUGACCAGUUGAAAGGGCUGAUUAAGUACCGUAGUAUUGUUGAAUUAAAAGAGCAUAUCCAAGAGGUCUAAAUUUUGCUGAAACGUGUGGAUGUGGUUUGUCAUUGCUGCUCGGUAAAAUCACACAGAUUGAUCUUUUACGGGUGUUGAUAAGUCUUAG